RNAcentral lists this long non-coding RNA (794 nucleotides) under Erythranthe guttata (spotted monkey flower). RNAcentral's name for it is "long non-coding RNA (EGUT_LNC000070)". Lineage: Eukaryota; Viridiplantae; Streptophyta; Magnoliopsida; Lamiales; Phrymaceae. The record is from RNAcentral.
AGGGUCAUCACAUGCCCUCUUAUGCCUCUUCGAAUCUGGAGCGACCGCACCACCGCCAGCGACAAAAUCCAAAUAAUGUUUGAUUUAUAUUAAUUCAAUCGGAAGGGUAUUUUUGUUCUAAUGUUAUGUUUAAUUAAUAUUAUUAUUAUGCAGGAGAGUGUUGAGAGAAUAUAUUGAACUCCAUCAACAUUAUGUGGCGGCGUCAGAAUUCAUAUGUAAUGGAUUUUUUGUAAAUGGGAUUUUUUGUGGUGGAUUUAGGUAAAAUUAAGGGAAUAUUUUUUAUAGUGGAUUUAAGCAAGUUUUUAGUGGAUUUUGAUAAAAUUGGAGUCAAUUUUCUCUUUGUAAAGGGGAUUUUUUGGUAGUGGUUUUUUAUAUUUUUGUAGUGGUUUCUAUGAUGAGCUUGUAAUGGAUUUCAGAUUUUUCGCGGAGGCGUAUGGCCAUGGGAGAUGGAAGAUGAUCGAAGGUUCAAGAAUAGUGGAUUUUUGUUUUUUUGUUCUUUUUUGUUUUCUUGUUGUGUUUGUACUUUGUAGUCGAUUAUUUCUGGGUGGUAUUCGGGUUGGUGCGGCACAUGAAUGAGCUUUUGUUUUCUGGAAUUUUGGGGAGGUGUCGGUGGCCAUGGGAGAUGGAUGAUGAUUUAGGGUUCGGGAAUAGUGGAUUUCGUUUUUUUUUUUUUUCUUUUUUUUCUGUUAACUUUUUGUUGUGUUUUUAGUCGAUUAAUUUAAUUCGUUGUGAAUUACGUAGAUUUGGAUAAGUUUGUAGUGGAUUACAUCAAUAUUAAUGUGCAUUACUUUUAU